UUUGGGAAGGAAUUAGGUCUAGCUGCUGUGCAGGGUCAUUUGUUUUGUGGAAAGUGCUGGCCAACAGUACAAAGGAACGUUUGCACACGGGACAAACAAACCACUGCAGCCCAUCUAAUAACAGGGAGGCUUAUCAGCUGCUUCUGCCUCCUCUAAUUUUCAUCAGUUUUGACAAGCCCAUUAAAUGAUUCUGGGACCAAAAAUAAACAUGUUUGUGUUGAGCUGAAGAGACAAGCAGCAAUCACACCUCUCUGUGUUGGAGGGAAGGACACAAGACAACUUUUAAUUAAAACGGGGCUCCAUUGCACAACAUGCCGGACAUGAUAAACAAGACUUGGGAACAGAACUUCCAGGAAGACAGUGGGAGAUGUUGUGAUGGUGAAAAUGCUCGUCCAGACAGACGGUGGAAUGUGGCAGAAGAUUCAUGGUGUGAGUGUUGGUAUGGCCUACAAAUCCAUCCUCUAAUCCUGAUCUAAAAGUAAUGAGUUUCUCUGUUCAGCUCUUCAUUUGUGUGAUUAAAGGGCUUAAUUCACAGCAAGAGGACAGUUUUCUGUCUUUCGCUUUUGAUAUUUAACUAUCCAACAUGAGAUACGACAGUGGGGCUUUUUCAUUUUUACACAGUUCUAUCAUGUCAUAUCUCGGGUGUCACAGUGUGUUAUUUCGAUCAGGCUCAGUGGGAAGCGCUUUUCAAAUUCAAAUAAAACGAAGAGAGCAGCCUGAACAUCCCCAGUGGCCUGAGCCGGACAAUGUGGCUUUGGCAAAGUCAGUGUCAGCACUCGGGUCCAUUGACAGCCAACAUCUAUUUUUCACAAGACAACAUCUUUAGCAGUGGCUAUUGUCAUUCACUGGAAAAACAGAAUCACCAGGCUGUCAGCAGCAUAAAAAUCUGUUUCCAUGACAACGACUCCUUCCAAACUCCCAAGUCAUUUCUGUCACAGAGGCUGACAUAAGGUGACGCAGAGAAGCAGCUGCAUCCAUGAGAGAGCAGGGAAACGUUUUAGAGGCUGCAGCCAAUCAAGCAAAAAAUGAUGCCAGUUUGCAAGAAGCCACUUUCUUCUAAUCAAGCUUGAUCAAUCAGAAAUCCUGGCUUGCAGUGGAUAAAACGCAGGAAAGCAAUCAGACCAGGUCACUGUUUUAUCUCUGAUGGAUGAACACACAAACAGUUGCACAGGAGCUGUUGCUAAGGAGAGAAGCAUUUAUUUGAAGAUAUGUUUGUGGUUUCUUCAUGAUGGCAAAGCUUUUGGCUUGAGCAAAGAUCCUGUAAACGGGACAAAUACUUUAUUGAUAUUUAUAUAUGUAUUCCGUAUACAGGACUGUAAUUAAAUAAAUA
Long non-coding RNA from Oryzias melastigma (Indian medaka), 1330 nucleotides. RefSeq lists it as uncharacterized. The transcript is spliced from 3 exons. NCBI's taxonomy places the organism in Eukaryota, Metazoa, Chordata, Actinopteri, Beloniformes, Adrianichthyidae. The record is from RefSeq and is a predicted model, not a curated record.